CCGGGUCCUCGCGCCCCUCUCCCCUCAGGGCGCAGCGCGGCGGGGGCGGCUCCUCGGGGGUCGCUCCUGGCGCCGCGCGGCGGCUCCGAGUGUGUUCUCGGGGGGCUCUUCCCUAGGGCCUUAGGUGAACCCCCUCCCUCUCUCGCUCUGGCUCCUCGCCCUGCCCCUCUUCUGUGACCGCCCGCGUUCAGUUCCUGAACAGGAAAUGUGAAAGUUGAUUAAAGCCAAAAUGAAGUUUAUUGUGUCAAAAUCGUACCUAUGGAGAUGGUUUACAUUGAGACUGCAGCACCUCAAAAUGGAUCUAUUGCUACUGAGAUAAUCUAAGCAGAGGUCUUGCAGAAGAUGGAAUGAACUUUUUUUUUAACAGUGACUCCAGAAGAUUCAGGAAAGUGACACAAUCAUACUGAGUUAAAUACAGCAGCAAAGUACGUAGUAUCUUCAAAUCCUGGACCAAGGAUUUUGUCUUAGCUCCAAGCUGAUGCCAGAGAGGAUCUAAAUAGUGACGUAUUGUCUAGAAGUAAAAAUGGGAAAGUUCAGGAUGUCAAAUAUAUAGUAUACUAAACAAGGCAAGAAUGCUUUUUUUUAAUUAUUCUUUAUGGGGGAUGACAUUAGUUUUGCAAAGUUAUUAAACACACCCAACUAAAGAUGUGAUGGUGAGGUAUUUGUUUUGGUAAGUAAUCACUUUUUGCAAAGUUAACAUAAUAUAAUGUAAAACAUUUCAACAGUUAGCAGAUGUAUAUAAUUUAACACUUUCAGUAUAUAUUUUCCUUCACGUAUAAUAAUAAAAUACUGGUAAAGUAAAAAACCCCUUUGUUUUACUGGUACUGGCAUGUGCCUUUAGUAUUUAGUAUCCUGUAGAAUUCUUUUUUACUUUACCUAAGUAAUGUCAUUUAAUUUUCAAAAUAAGAUGAGUGCAGAUAUGCAACCUACACAGCAUACGAAAAAAACCUCCAAAUAUUUAAAGUACAGAAGGCCUCACAUCAAGAUUAAAUGCAUGCAUGUGUGUAUUAUGUAUUAUAUACAGUGCUUCUCCUAAUAGAGAAAAAAUAGAAGAAGGAAAUUCAAGAGGAAAAAAAGCCUGUAACAGGGUUUCCAGCUUAUACGAGAACAGACAAUGGUGGUUGGGGAGAAGGGAACAGAACAUGAGUAGGAAAAGGUAACUGUAACAUCUUUCAUAUAUAACUUCUACAUAACAACAACAAAGGUCACAAACUGUUUCCAAAAUCUUUACAACGACAGUAACAGCAGUAUUUAAUAAUACUGCUAUUUAGAUAGUGUUCAAGGUGUGUCAAGACUGAGAUUAGUAAGGUAUUGCUAUUUUUUGAUGAAAAAAGUGAUUAGGAGUAAUCUGGCAAUGCAAAAAGGUAGUUUGCAUGGUUGAUAAAACAUGACAUCUUAAAUCAGUUUAAUCAUAGACCAGUGUCCUAGAGACUACAGGACACUACUUCACCAAGCACAAUCAAUUAUUCUUUGAAAGCCAGUCUGAAUAUUGUAUUUCUUAUGUCAAUGACAUGGUUUUACUGAUGAUUUGUUUUCCAGCCACUUGAUCACAGAAAGCCCUACAAAUGCAUGAUCCAUUAUCUAAAAAUAAUGUGGAUAUUUUCAAAUUGUAUGGUUUCAUAAGGCAAACAAGGUUGGAGCAAUUUAUUAAAAAAAAUAAUGGAAGAACUAUAUGUUUGUUCCUUUUACCUCAGUCUUUCUGGAAGAAAAGGAAUAAAUCUUCAAUGUCAAUAUUGGUUACCUGAACUCUUCAUAAUGAAUUAAGCUUUAGAGUAUUUUCACACAGAACAGCCUUACCUUUAUUUCAUUGAACUCUUACCAGUAAUGAGGUUUGCAGGAAUCCUGU
Long non-coding RNA from Apus apus (common swift), 1846 nucleotides. RefSeq lists it as uncharacterized. NCBI's taxonomy places the organism in Eukaryota, Metazoa, Chordata, Aves, Apodiformes, Apodidae. The record is from RefSeq and is a predicted model, not a curated record. The transcript has 4 exons.